CAAAGACUGAGAUGAACAUUCAUUCACGUGCGAGUAGUUUAUUUGAGAGAGGGUCCUAGGAGAUACAGGACGUGGUGACUGUGUGACAAGGAAGGGGAGGAAGGUGACAGAGCAUCCAUUACUGAGGGAAUUAAUUGUCCAACACAUCUGACUUCCCUGGGUGCACAUCCCAAGGCCAGAAAAAAACUUCAAGUGGAUAUUUUCAGGAGUCAGUGAGAAGGAAAAGUGAGCCUACAAGAGAUUCAGCAACCUGCUGAAAGCGGAACUGGUGUUCAAACAGAGGUUCCCAUGUGUCUAAAGCUAAGUACCAAAUGACUCCCAUGUGGGGUUGAACAAGCUGCUAGAAAGGUAGAGAACCUGAUGAGGAGACAGGGCUGAAAAUGGUGCCUUCAGAGUGAAAUCUACAUUCAGCCCUGGGAAGGGAUUGGAACAUGGCAUUAUUCCUUAAACUUCCUUGAUGAUGAGACUCACCUGGGCAAUUGUUGGAAAUACCUGGUCCUUCUCAGGUCUGCUGAAUCCCUGUCUCCUCACAGAGGAACCUAGAGGAGUCUGAUGAUCAAAGAA
This is a long non-coding RNA of Lontra canadensis (Northern American river otter), 564 nucleotides long. RefSeq lists it as uncharacterized. NCBI's taxonomy places the organism in Eukaryota, Metazoa, Chordata, Mammalia, Carnivora, Mustelidae. The record is from RefSeq and is a predicted model, not a curated record. The transcript is spliced from 3 exons.